This 468-nucleotide ribosomal RNA is filed under the name uncultured bacterium. RNAcentral's name for it is "partial 16S ribosomal RNA". It matches the Rfam family "Bacterial small subunit ribosomal RNA", at positions 28 to 507 of the family's 1533-position model. The record is from RNAcentral.
GACGAACGCUGGCGGCGUGCUUAACACAUGCAAGUCGAACGGAAAGGCCCUGAUUUUGUGGGGUGCUCGGGUGGCGAACGGGUGAGUAACACGAGAGUAACGUGCCCUUGACUUUGGGAGAACUUCAGGAAAGGGGGGCUAAUACCGGACAGGAGCUCCUGCUGCAUGGAGGGGGUUGGAAAGUUUCGGCGGGUGGGGAUGGACUCGCGGCUUAUCAGCUUGUUGGUGGGGUAGUGGCUUACCAAGGCUUUGACGGGUAGCAGGCCUGUGAGGGUGACCGGCCACAUUGGACCUGAGCUGCGGCACAGUCGCCUACGGUAGGCAGCUGUGCGGAAUAUUGCACCAUGGGCGGAAGCCUGAUGCAGCACCGCCGCGUGCGGUAUGACGGCCUUCGGGUUGUAGACCGCUUUCGCCUGUGUCGAAGCGUGAGUGACGGUAAUGGGUAAAGAAGCCCCGGCUAACUACGUG